This 430-nucleotide ribosomal RNA is filed under the name Pseudomonadota bacterium. RNAcentral describes it as "Proteobacteria bacterium partial 16S ribosomal RNA". It matches the Rfam family "Bacterial small subunit ribosomal RNA", at positions 355 to 776 of the family's 1533-position model. Lineage: Bacteria; Pseudomonadati; Pseudomonadota. The record is from RNAcentral.
UGGGGAAUAUUGGACAAUGGGGGGAACCCUGAUCCAGCCAUGCCGCGUGUGUGAAGAAGGCCUUAUGGUUGUAAAGCACUUUAAGCGAGGAGGAGGGUACUGGUAUUAAUACUACCAGGUACUGGACGUUACUCGCAGAAUAAGCACCGGCUAACUCUGUGCCAGCAGCCGCGGUAAUACAGAGGGUGCGAGCGUUAAUCGGAUUUACUGGGCGUAAAGCGUGCGUAGGCGGCUAAUUGAGUCGGAUGUGAAAUCCCCGAGCUUAACUUGGGAAUUGCAUUCGAUACUGGUUAGAUAGAGUGUGGGAGAGGAUGGUAGAAUUCCAGGUGUAGCGGUGAAAUGCGUAGAGAUCUGGAGGAAUACCGAUGGCGAAGGCAGCCAUCUGGCCUAACACUGACGCUGAGGUACGAAAGCAUGGGGAGCAAACAGG